AACGAACGCUGGCGGCAUGCCUAACACAUGCAAGUCGAACGAGACCUUCGGGUCUAGUGGCGCACGGGUGCGUAACGCGUGGGAAUCUGCCCUUCGGUUCGGAAUAACUCAGGGAAACUUGAGCUAAUACCGAAUGAUGUCUUCGGACCAAAGAUUUAUCGCCGAAGGAUGAGCCCGCGUCGGAUUAGCUAGUUGGUGAGGUAAAGGCUCACCAAGGCGACGAUCCGUAGCUGGUCUGAGAGGAUGAUCAGCCACACUGGGACUGAGACACGGCCCAGACUCCUACGGGAGGCAGCAGUGGGGAAUAUUGGACAAUGGGCGAAAGCCUGAUCCAGCAAUGCCGCGUGAGUGAUGAAGGCCUUAGGGUUGUAAAGCUCUUUUACCCGGGAUGAUAAUGACAGUACCGGGAGAAUAAGCCCCGGCUAACUCCGUGCCAGCAGCCGCGGUAAUACGGAGGGGGCUAGCGUUGUUCGGAAUUACUGGGCGUAAAGCGCACGUA
RNAcentral lists this ribosomal RNA (499 nucleotides) under uncultured bacterium. RNAcentral describes it as "bacterial SSU rRNA". It matches the Rfam family "Bacterial small subunit ribosomal RNA", at positions 28 to 573 of the family's 1533-position model. The record is from RNAcentral.